Long non-coding RNA from Oxyura jamaicensis (ruddy duck), 931 nucleotides. RefSeq lists it as uncharacterized. The record is from RefSeq and is a predicted model, not a curated record. The transcript has 3 exons. Lineage: Eukaryota; Metazoa; Chordata; Aves; Anseriformes; Anatidae.
UCCCACAAGAAGUAUUAUGAACUCAUGAUAUUUAUGGCUGUCAGUGUCUGCCAGUCCUCACUGGAGUCAUCAUUACAGAACAAUCAUGUUUGCAGCGCCCAACUUCUCAGUGAUGAAGUCAGAUCUUUUCCAGGCUUAUUGAAUGCCUGGAGAAGAUUUAUGAUCUUUUCAAUCUGGGAGAUAUGUGACUAAGAAUGGAUGAAGCUGCACAAGUGAAUGUAUAUGAGUACUGUACCGAGGAAAAUGAAAACAAAAGUAUAGUACUAGAUGUCACCCCAUCAUCACACAGUCAAAAGGUUGGCUCUUAAGUAACACACAAACUUCAUGGGGGGAAUUUUAGCCACAGGGAAGAAAAUAAAGUCUGAGUUGUUAUAAAGGAGCUUUUGAAAGACCAUGGAGUCAAGAUUUACAUCUGACCCUCCCUGUCACAGAAAUGAUAAAUGAGAUAUUCCCAGCCCAGCAUCAUAGUUUCUCCCCAGCUCUCCAUUGAUUUUGGGCACCAGGAGCCUCAGGACAGGAGGAGUACACAUAGGCCUGGAGCAUCCCUCUGCCUGUAGUUUUGUCCUGUGCCUCCAUCACAAGGAGUGUGCAGGGAAAUACAGGAUGUCACAGGGCUCUCCUCAGGUGCACAGUGCCCACCAUGGGAAGUGACUUCAGCCUGGAGUGUAGGGUUUCCUUCCUGGAACCUCUGGCUAACUUCAGCACCUGAAGUGUCUCUGGAAGAUGCUCAGAUGAAAUAGGAAGACGAAGGAGGAUUUGCAGUCAUUCAGCAGUGUAUAUGUGCCAGAUAUCACACAACCAGCAUUCCUACGUCCUGUCCUUGCAGGUUUAUUGUUACAGAUGAACUUCUAACAUCACUGUUUGCCGAACUGUACCAUAAAUAAAUAAAUAAAUAAAUACAUAAAUGGAUUUUGGGAAGCAUUGCUGAAGA